UUCGUAGGGGGCAAGCGUUAUCCGGAAUUACUGGGUGUAAAGGGAGCGUAGACGGUAAUGUAAGUCUGGAGUGAAAGGCGGGGGCCCAACCCCCGGACUGCUCUGGAAACUAUGUUACUAGAGUGCAGGAGAGGUAAGCGGAAUUCCUAGUGUAGCGGUGAAAUGCGUAGAUAUUAGGAGGAACACCAGUGGCGAAGGCGGCUUACUGGACUGUAACUGACGUUGAGGCUCGAAAGCGUGGGGAGCAAACAGG
This 253-nucleotide ribosomal RNA is filed under the name uncultured bacterium. RNAcentral's name for it is "partial 16S ribosomal RNA". It matches the Rfam family "Bacterial small subunit ribosomal RNA", at positions 524 to 776 of the family's 1533-position model. The record is from RNAcentral.